GAGCUGCUAGGUUGGUGAACACAUGGAGGUGCGGGGAGGGUGGCGAGCCCAGCGAGGACGUGGAUUCCCCACGGCCCUUCCCACAUACCCCGUUCUUUCAUUUGGCUGUUUCUGAGUUGUGUGCUUUAUAAUCAACUGACAAUGGUCCUAUGUCCCUUCCUCUUAAAUUUGGGCAGAAUUUGUGACUUCUUUGUCCAACAAAAUAUCGCAGAAGUGAUGCUGUACCAGACUGAAAAAGAGUGGCAGUUUCUAGCUGUGGUAUCUUGGAUCCAAAGAAUCAAUGACCCCAUACAACAGACCCAGUAGAGUUCCCAGGAAACAGCCAGCACCAGCCAUGUUGGUAAGAUAUCUUGAAAAUAGAUACUUCAGCCCACUUGAGCCACCACAGCUCA
This 392-nucleotide long non-coding RNA is filed under the name Homo sapiens (human). RNAcentral's name for it is "HSALNT0399748". Lineage: Eukaryota; Metazoa; Chordata; Mammalia; Primates; Hominidae. The record is from RNAcentral.